This 345-nucleotide unclassified non-coding RNA is filed under the name soil metagenome. Its description in RNAcentral is "partial contains 5.8S ribosomal RNA, internal transcribed spacer 2, and large subunit ribosomal RNA". The stretch from base 1 to 120 matches the Rfam family "5.8S ribosomal RNA", at positions 35 to 154 of the family's 154-position model. The record is from RNAcentral.
GAUGAAGAACGUAGCGAAAUGCGAUAACUAGUGUGAAUUGCAGAAUUCAGUGAACCAUCGAGUCUUUGAACGCACAUUGCGCCCCCUGGUAUUCCGGGGGGCAUGCGUGUCCGAGCGUCAUUGCUGCCCUCAAGCACGGCUUGUGUGUUGGGCCUCCGUCCUCCUCCCGGGGGACGGGCCCGAAAGGCAGCGGCGGCACCGCGUCCGGUCCUCGAGCGUAUGGGGCUUCGUCACCCGCUCUUGUAGGCCCGGCCGGCGCUUGCCGACACAUCAAUCUUUUUUCCAGGUUGACCUCGGAUCAGGUAGGGAUACCCGCUGAACUUAAGCAUAUCAAUAAGCGGAGGA